RNAcentral lists this long non-coding RNA (488 nucleotides) under Olea europaea (common olive). Its description in RNAcentral is "long non-coding RNA (OEUR_LNC008092)". Lineage: Eukaryota; Viridiplantae; Streptophyta; Magnoliopsida; Lamiales; Oleaceae. The record is from RNAcentral.
ACAUGUAGCAUAUCUUUCAUUUUCAUACUAUUUAUUAUUCAAGAAAACCGAACACAAAAAGGGAAAAAUAAAAAAUAAAAAACUCUAGUAAUUCAGAUAUCAAAAUAAUAUAAAUAAACAAGAAUAAAUCCAAUAUGAAAGCAACUUUCGGCUAGUUUAAAAAGAAGGAAGAAAAAAAAAUGAACUUACAGAUUAUAAAAUUGAGGAAAGUUUGAUCGAAACAGGGACUUUAGCAGAUUUUCCGCGAAGGAAUGAUUGACCAACAAUAUUAUUUAAUUAAUUGGAAUCAAGAUUAGCUGGUUCUCGUUGUAUUUAGCUAAAAAUUUUGUGGCUUUUUUCCUGGUUUUGUUGGUCCGAAUCACAGUUUCAUUUCAUCAACAAAUGGGAAUUAGCAACUGGUCCUGUUAAAAUAUUGUAGUAUUGCGGUAAACACGAAGGAAACGUACGCGCGAAAUUAGCGCGUAUUAAAUACUGUCCUGAAUUUAUUC